UUGAAGAGUUUGAUCAUGGCUCAGAUUGAACGCUGGCGGCAGGCCUAACACAUGCAAGUCGAACGGUAACAGGAAGCAGCUUGCUGCUUUGCUGACGAGUGGCGGACGGGUGAGUAAUGUCUGGGAAACUGCCUGAUGGAGGGGGAUAACUACUGGAAACGGUAGCUAAUACCGCAUAACGUCGCAAGACCAAAGAGGGGGACCUUCGGGCCUCUUGCCAUCGGAUGUGCCCAGAUGGGAUUAGCUAGUAGGUGGGGUAACGGCUCACCUAGGCGACGAUCCCUAGCUGGUCUGAGAGGAUGACCAGCCACACUGGAACUGAGACACGGUCCAGACUCCUACGGGAGGCAGCAGUGGGGAAUAUUGCACAAUGGGCGCAAGCCUGAUGCAGCCAUGCCGCGUGUAUGAAGAAGGCCUUCGGGUUGUAAAGUACUUUCAGCGAGGAGGAAGGUGUUGUGGUUAAUAACCACAGCAAUUGACGUUACUCGCAGAAGAAGCACCGGCUAACUCCGUGCCAGCAGCCGCGGUAAUACGGAGGGUGCAAGCGUUAAUCGGAAUUACUGGGCGUAAAGCGCACGCAGGCGGUUUGUUAAGUCAGAUGUGAAAUCCCCGGGCUCAACCUGGGAACUGCAUUUGAAACUGGCAAGCUUGAGUCUCGUAGAGGGGGGUAGAAUUCCAGGUGUAGCGGUGAAAUGCGUAGAGAUCUGGAGGAAUACCGGUGGCGAAGGCGGCCCCCUGGACGAAGACUGACGCUCAGGUGCGAAAGCGUGGGGAGCAAACAGGAUUAGAUACCCUGGUAGUCCACGCUGUAAACGAUGUCGACUUGGAGGUUGUGCCCUUGAGGCGUGGCUUCCGGAGCUAACGCGUUAAGUCGACCGCCUGGGGAGUACGGCCGCAAGGUUAAAACUCAAAUGAAUUGACGGGGGCCCGCACAAGCGGUGGAGCAUGUGGUUUAAUUCGAUGCAACGCGAAGAACCUUACCUACUCUUGACAUCCACGGAACUUAGCAGAGAUGCUUUGGUGCCUUCGGGAACCGUGAGACAGGUGCUGCAUGGCUGUCGUCAGCUCGUGUUGUGAAAUGUUGGGUUAAGUCCCGCAACGAGCGCAACCCUUAUCCUUUGUUGCCAGCGGUUAGGCCGGGAACUCAAAGGAGACUGCCAGUGAUAAACUGGAGGAAGGUGGGGAUGACGUCAAGUCAUCAUGGCCCUUACGAGUAGGGCUACACACGUGCUACAAUGGCAUAUACAAAGAGAAGCGACCUCGCGAGAGCAAGCGGACCUCAUAAAGUAUGUCGUAGUCCGGAUUGGAGUCUGCAACUCGACUCCAUGAAGUCGGAAUCGCUAGUAAUCGUAGAUCAGAAUGCUACGGUGAAUACGUUCCCGGGCCUUGUACACACCGCCCGUCACACCAUGGGAGUGGGUUGCAAAAGAAGUAGGUAGCUUAACCUUCGGGAGGGCGCUUACCACUUUGUGAUUCAUGACUGGGGUGAAGUCGUAACAAGGUAACCGUAGGGGAACCUGCGGUUGGAUCACCUCCUU
Molecule: ribosomal RNA, 1538 nt
Filed under: Pseudocitrobacter corydidari
Lineage: Bacteria; Pseudomonadati; Pseudomonadota; Gammaproteobacteria; Enterobacterales; Enterobacteriaceae
Description: bacterial SSU rRNA
Rfam family: Bacterial small subunit ribosomal RNA
Source: RNAcentral